Molecule: ribosomal RNA, 327 nt
Filed under: Trevathana jensi
Lineage: Eukaryota; Metazoa; Arthropoda; Thecostraca; Balanomorpha; Pyrgomatidae
Description: partial 12S ribosomal RNA
Source: RNAcentral
AGAUACCCUGUUACUUAUAAUUAAAAAAUUUUGGAAUAGUAAUAAUAAUGAAAUUUAACGGAUUUGGCGGCAAGAUAGCCAUUUAGAGGAACCUGCCCUAUAAACGAUGAACCACGAAAUACUUUGCUUUUACUUGUUAUCAGUUUGUAUACCGCUGUUGUCAGUCAGCUUUUUCAGAAAUCUUUCUUUAAUGAUAAAAUCAAUUACUUCAAGUAAAGGUGCAGCUUAUGUAAAAGAUAGAGGUGGGUUACAUUUAUAAGAUUAAAACGAAUAAAGAUUUUGAAAAAUCUUUUGAAGGUGGAUUUAAAUGUAAAGUUUAAAAAAACU